This 497-nucleotide ribosomal RNA is filed under the name uncultured bacterium. RNAcentral's name for it is "partial 16S ribosomal RNA". It matches the Rfam family "Bacterial small subunit ribosomal RNA", at positions 28 to 507 of the family's 1533-position model. The record is from RNAcentral.
GAUGAACGCUGGCGGCGUGCCUAAUACAUGCCAGUCGAGCGAACAGAUAAGGAGCUUGCUCCUUUGACGUUAGCGGCGGACGGGUGAGUAACACGUGGGUAACCUACCUAUAAGACUGGGAUAACUUCGGGAAACCGGAGCUAAUACCGGAUAACAUUUGGAACCGCAUGGUUCUAAAGUGAAAGAUGGUUUUGCUAUCACUUAUAGAUGGACCCGCGCCGUAUUAGCUAGUUGGUAAGGUAACGGCUUACCAAGGCGACGAUACGUAGCCGACCUGAGAGGGUGAUCGGCCACACUGGAACUGAGACACGGUCCAGACUCCUACGGGAGGCAGCAGUAGGGAAUCUUCCGCAAUAGGCGAAAGCCUGACGGAGCAACGCCGCGUGAGUGAUGAAGGGUUUCGGCUCGUAAAACUCUGUUAUUAGGGAAGAACAAAUGUGUAAGUAACUGUGCACGUCUUGACGGUACCUAAUCAGAAAGCCACGGCUAACUACGUG